RNAcentral lists this ribosomal RNA (482 nucleotides) under uncultured bacterium. RNAcentral describes it as "bacterial SSU rRNA". It matches the Rfam family "Bacterial small subunit ribosomal RNA", at positions 28 to 507 of the family's 1533-position model. The record is from RNAcentral.
GAUGAACGCUAGCGGCAGGCCUAACACAUGCAAGUCGAGGGGCAUCGCGGUGCAGCAAUGCACUGGCGGCGACCGGCGUACGGGUGCGUAACGCGUAUGCAACCUGCCCCGCACCGGGGGAUAGCCCGCCGAAAGGCGGAUUAAUACCCCAUGGUCCCGGGGGCCCGCAUGGGCAUCCGGGUAAAGCCUUGGCGGUGCGGGAUGGGCAUGCGUGCCAUUAGCUGGCUGGUGGGGUAACGGCCCACCAGGGCAACGAUGGCUAGGGGGUCUGAGAGGAUGGUCCCCCACACUGGUACUGAGACACGGACCAGACUCCUACGGGAGGCAGCAGUGAGGAAUAUUGGUCAAUGGGCGAAGCCUGAACCAGCCAUGCCGCGUGCGGGAUGAAGGCCCUACGGGUUGUAAACCGCUUUUCCCCGGGAAGAAUAACCCCGAUGAGUCGGGGAUGCCGGUACCGGGGAUAAGGAUCGGCUAACUCCGUG